This 485-nucleotide ribosomal RNA is filed under the name uncultured bacterium. RNAcentral describes it as "bacterial SSU rRNA". It matches the Rfam family "Bacterial small subunit ribosomal RNA", at positions 355 to 855 of the family's 1533-position model. The record is from RNAcentral.
UGGGGAAUCUUGGACAAUGGGGGCAACCCUGAUCCAGCCAUGCCGCGUGAGUGAUGAAGGCCUUAGGGUCGUAAAGCUCUUUCGCCUGUGAAGAUAAUGACGGUAGCCGGAGAAGAAGCCCCGGCUAACUCCGUGCCAGCAGCCGCGGUAAUACGGAGGGGGUUAGCGUUGUUCGGAAUUACUGGGCGUAAAGCGCACGUAGGCGGACCAGAAAGUUGGGGGUGAAAUCCCGGGGGCUCAACCCCGGAACUGCCUCCAAAACUAUUGGUCUAGAGUUCGAGAGAGGUGAGUGGAAUUCCAAGUGUAGAGGUGAAAUUCGUAGAUAUUUGGAGGAACACCAGUGGCGAAGGCGGCUCACUGGCUCGAUACUGACGCUGAGGUGCGAAAGUGUGGGGAGCAAACAGGAUUAGAUACCCUGGGUAGUCCACACCGUAAAACGAUGAAUGCCAGUCGUCGGGUAGCAUGCUAUUCGGUGACACACCUAA